AGUCACCUAAAUUUCUUUCCACUCGCUCCAACUCUUCUUCCACAUAAUCCAAUUGCUCUAUUUUAAUCUCAAAAACAAUAAAAUUCCUUUAAUUAUUUGUCUCUCAGAUCUCAAAGCAUACCAUCAUAUUUGCACGAAUCCCAAAGCUCCAUCCAACCAUGUUCCCAGCCAAGUCCCAAUAGUUUCCAACAACUUGAUCAAUCACAUCCGUUUCCCUUCAUCCGCAUGAGUCCACGUGAUCAUCUCCCAGUGUCCUACACUCCUUUCCGCAUCCUCCGCUAAUCUCACGCACGUCUCUCGUCCCUUCUGAAUCCAAGGAACAGAGUCUCCCCACGUAUCUCCCAGCUUUAUCCCGUUCAUAGUCGAGUCCCAAGCAUCCAGCUCCAUCGUCCGCCGAUUUCCCACGUUAUUCUCGAUUCGGCUUCAUCCUCAAGCAUUUGGAUAAACUCCCCGCUCCUCUGUUCUCAAGUCUCCCGUGUCUUCAUCCCAAACAAACUUCUAUCCAAGCUGCCGAAUCCCAUGGAACAUCUCCCCUGUUCCCAACAGAAUCGAGUUCAUCCUCCCGUGAUCCACUCAAAUCCCAGCACCCCACAUUUCUUCUCAUCUUCAUCUCAACCGUGGACAACAUCCUAUAUCUCCCAGAUUCAUCCGUAUCCAAUUUCCUCCCACAUUCCACCUUUCACUUGAUUCCUUCCGAACAUCCCAGCUCAUGAAUUCGUUUCCUCUUUCCGUUCGGAAUUGAUUCCAUAUCCACAGAAUAAGGCUUAGGCAUUCAUUCCGAAGCUAGAUCCCAACGUCCAAGUUCAUCUUCCCUGCUCAACGUCCAAGCUUAUCCUCUCAUCCUCUUCCCCUGUUACGGUUUCCACCCAGCUAUCAGCCGAGAUCCUCUCAGCCGUGAGCGCCAUCCCGUGUUUCCCACGUCUUCCACGACUUCCUCUGCUUCAAAACAGAGCUCCAAUCUCCACGUCACCUCCGAGAUCUUCUCCGCAUCACCUGCUCCCAGCUCGUUCCAGCCGUCCGCAAGAUACCCAUAGCGUCUUCAUCCUUAUCCUGCACUCGGAAGGAGGAGCCAGGGGGAGUUGGAAGCCGUUGAUCCAUCUUUAUCUCGCCUUGGACAGAGGAGCGAGGGGGAGGUGCAGCCUAUAAAAGGCCCAGCGUGAACCGAGAAGAGGAAUCAUUCCUCCUCUUCCCCACCAGGGGAGGGGGCUGAUCCCUUUAUUCCUCCUCUUCCCCACCAGGGGAGGGGGCUGAUCCCUUUAUUCAUCCUUCCCCACCGGGGGGGGGGGGG
This 1288-nucleotide long non-coding RNA is filed under the name Phoenix dactylifera (date palm). RNAcentral describes it as "long non-coding RNA (PDAC_LNC015075)". The record is from RNAcentral. Lineage: Eukaryota; Viridiplantae; Streptophyta; Magnoliopsida; Arecales; Arecaceae.